UGCUUCGACGCUGAGUGGAACGAAUGAGAACUUUUCCUGUAGGCCUCUCUUGUCCAUACGCCCAUGUUCCCCAGGCUGCUCUCCUAAUAGGACAGGUCCCUGGUCCCAGGCUAAGCGUGCAGCAUGACUUCUCAUUCGUUCAACUCAGUGUCGAAGCAAGAGAG
Long non-coding RNA from Haliotis rubra (blacklip abalone), 164 nucleotides. RefSeq lists it as uncharacterized. The transcript has 3 exons. Lineage: Eukaryota; Metazoa; Mollusca; Gastropoda; Lepetellida; Haliotidae. The record is from RefSeq and is a predicted model, not a curated record.